CGCGACGAGCAGGGACGACGGGUGGUGGAGGCUCCGACGAUCUUCUACAUGCCGCAUUGUGAGGCUGUGCUGUAUGAUAAUUUGUUGCGGGCUAACUGGCGGCCGGUGGCGCUGAACCAGAUGGUGGUGCUGGGGAAUAGCUUUAGUGAGUAUGGGCGGUAUGUUGAAGAGAUGGGAGGAUGUGGCGGGUCAGUUGCAGUUGGGAUGGAG
RNAcentral lists this unclassified non-coding RNA (210 nucleotides) under Hevea brasiliensis (rubber tree). The record is from RNAcentral. Lineage: Eukaryota; Viridiplantae; Streptophyta; Magnoliopsida; Malpighiales; Euphorbiaceae.